GAAAAAUAUGUAUCAUUUUAUCUAGAAAUAUGUAUUGGGACGUCGAAUGAAUAUUUUGCUAGAUAUAUAUUAAUUGACUAUAUACUGUGUAUUGAUAGAUAUUAAGUUUGGUAAACUAUAUAUUAAUUUACUUAUAAGUAUGUAUUGGAUCGUUGGUAGGUGUGUAUCAAAAAAAAUUAUAGUAUGUAUCAAUAAGUCGUCUAGUGUUUAUCAUUUUCUCAUGUGCUAUGUACUGAUGAACGUUAUAUUCUGAAAAUUAUAUAUCGCUUUAUCUAGAGAUGUAUAUUGGGACGUCGGAUGAAUAGUUUGGUAGAUAUGUGUCAACUAGUCAUAUACUGUAUACUGAUGAAUAUUAAGUUCGGUAAAUUAUAUAUCAGUUUAGUUAUAGUUGUGUAUUGAUGAUCAUUGCUAGAUAUGUAUAAAAAAAAGCUUACGAUAUGUAUAUCUGGCUAUAUAUUUAGUACGUAUCAUAUAGUCAUAUGAUAUGUAUUAUUAAAAGGCAUAUGCUGAAAAUGAGGAA
This 520-nucleotide long non-coding RNA is filed under the name Elaeis guineensis (African oil palm). RNAcentral describes it as "long non-coding RNA (EGUI_LNC020007)". Lineage: Eukaryota; Viridiplantae; Streptophyta; Magnoliopsida; Arecales; Arecaceae. The record is from RNAcentral.